Long non-coding RNA from Hibiscus syriacus, 966 nucleotides. RefSeq lists it as uncharacterized. The transcript is spliced from 4 exons. NCBI's taxonomy places the organism in Eukaryota, Viridiplantae, Streptophyta, Magnoliopsida, Malvales, Malvaceae. The record is from RefSeq and is a predicted model, not a curated record.
UGAAUCAAUUAGACUCUUAAACCGGUUAUCUUCUCCCCUUCUAUUUUUCCAUAACCUUCCCCAGAAAACCGUCUAAACUCCACCGACCCAUGCCCUCCUCUCCCUUGGGCUCGCCGACGAGCUCUCGGUGAGAACAAUCCGAUAAUAAGAAAAAAAAUAUUACAUUUUGCUGAAGGAUUUAUAAGUGAAAACUGAAGUUGAUGAAGAAAAGGGUUUUGUUUUAUGCUUCUGGGUUUCUAUCUUCAACUUCUAUUCUGUAUAUCCCGAAACCAUUCUUGAACAGGUGUAUGCAGAGACUAAUAGCAUGUCCCCUUUACUUGUUCUAAACGGAAAGACAUUGAUGCUUUUACCAUUGACUUGCCUACUCAAAGAAGCUCCUAGUCCUGGAAACACUGAUUUACGAUUAACCGCCGAGAUUGAACAAAACCAAAACAAAUAGAUACAUGUCGGAUACGAGGCAUAUCGUUGUCGGAUCUUUUCCUUGGAUGUUGUUUUAUUAGAUAUCUUUGGGCAGCCAGUAAACAAUGAACUAGAGGUCGUGGCAUCACUCUUGUAUGCUUUUAAUCGGUUACCCGUUAAGAAGAUAAAUGGUGAAGAACCUCAUCUUCUAGUUAGUUGUGAUGGAAUUGAAUUUGCCUCUUCUGAUCGACCUGUAAAUUAUCAAAUGGGCGGGCAUCCUUUAAACUGAAGAUCUCCAAGGUGGUAAUAUUAGAUUUAGUUUGUGCUAUACUUUGUUCAAUACGUGUGUUUUUUCGGUAUUUUUAUAAAUUUCUUCGUGGAACUUAUUCCAUGAGAAACUAGUCCGUAGUUUUUCAUUCUUCUAGAGGCCUUUUUUUGAGGAAAAUAAUGUCUUCUGCUGAUGGUAACCGACCCCAUGUAAUAUAACUGCAGCUAAACUACUUCUCAAGCACAGAGGUUACAAUAUUUUGUGUAGCUAGGUUGGUUGAGUUGAAGUCCGGGUAUAAA